This 403-nucleotide ribosomal RNA is filed under the name uncultured bacterium. Its description in RNAcentral is "partial 16S ribosomal RNA". It matches the Rfam family "Bacterial small subunit ribosomal RNA", at positions 29 to 526 of the family's 1533-position model. The record is from RNAcentral.
AUUGAACGCUGGCGGCAGGCCUAACACAUGCAAGUCGAGCGAGCGGCGGACGGGUGAGUAAUGUAUGGGGACUGCCCGAUAGAGGGGGAUAACUACUGGCAACGGUGGCUAAUACCGCAUACUAUCGGAUAACCCAUAUGGGAUUAGCUAGUAGGUGGGGUAAAGGCUCACCUAGGCGACGAUCUCUAGCUGGUCUGAGCGGAGGAUCAGCCACACUGGGAUGGAGAAACGGCCCAGCCUCCUACGGAGGCAGCGGUGGGGAAUAUUGGAAAAUGGGCGCAAGCCUGAUGCAGAAAUGCCGGGGGUAGGAAGAAGGCUUUAGGGUGGUAAAGUACUUUCAGCGGGGAGGCGUUACCCGCAGAAGAAGCACCGGCUAACUCCGUGCCAGCAGCCGCGGUAAUAC